RNAcentral lists this ribosomal RNA (408 nucleotides) under uncultured bacterium. RNAcentral describes it as "partial 16S ribosomal RNA". It matches the Rfam family "Bacterial small subunit ribosomal RNA", at positions 28 to 526 of the family's 1533-position model. The record is from RNAcentral.
GACGAACGCUGGCGGCGUGCUUAACACAUGCAAGUCGAACGGAGUGGCGAAAGGUUGAGUAACACGUGGGUGAUUUGCCCUGCACUUCGGGAUAAUCCAGGGAAACUGGGUCUAAUACCGGAUAGUGCAAGAUGAGGUCGCGGCUUAUCAGCGUGUUGGGGGGGUAAUGGCCUACCAAGGCGUCGACGGGUGGCCGGCGUGAGAGGGUGUACGGCCACGUUGGGGCUGGGAUACGGCGCAGACACCUACGGGGGGCAGCAGUGGGGAAUAUAGCACAAUGGGCGGAAGAGUGAGGCAGAGACGCCGCGUGGGGGAGGUAGGCCUUCGGGUUGUAAACUCCUUUCGACAGAGACGCGGUACCUGUAUAAGAAGCACCGGCUAACUACGUGCCAGCAGCCGCGGUAAUAC